GAUGAAGAACGUAGCGAAAUGCGAUAAGUAAUGUGAAUUGCAGAAUUCAGUGAAUCAUCGAAUCUUUGAACUCACCUUGCGCUCCUUGGUAUUCCGAGGAGCAUGCCUGUUUGAGUGUCAUUAAUAUAUCAACCUCUUCAGCUUAUGCUUGUUGAGUGUUGGAUGGUGGGGGUUUGCUGGUGUCUUAUGAAGUCAGCUCCUCUGAAAUGCAUUAGCGGAACAAUUUGUUGACCGUUCAUUGGUGUGAUAAAAAUAUCUACGCUAUUGACGUCAGUCAGUUCAGCUUCUAACAGUCCAUUGACUUGGACAAAUUUUUCAUUAAUGUGACCUCAAAUCAGGUAGGACUACCCGCUGAACUUAAGCAUAUCAAUAAGCGGAGGA
This 381-nucleotide unclassified non-coding RNA is filed under the name soil metagenome. Its description in RNAcentral is "partial contains 5.8S ribosomal RNA, internal transcribed spacer 2, and large subunit ribosomal RNA". The stretch from base 1 to 120 matches the Rfam family "5.8S ribosomal RNA", at positions 35 to 154 of the family's 154-position model. The record is from RNAcentral.